Molecule: ribosomal RNA, 443 nt
Filed under: uncultured bacterium
Lineage: Bacteria
Description: partial 16S ribosomal RNA
Rfam family: Bacterial small subunit ribosomal RNA
Source: RNAcentral
CCUACGGGAGGCAGCAGUGGGGAAUAUUGGGCAAUGGGCGCAAGCCUGACCCAGCAACGCCGCGUGAAGGAAGAAGGCUCUCGGGUUGUAAACUUCUUUUCUCAGGGACGAAGAAAGUGACGGUACCUGAGGAAUAAGCCACGGCUAACUACGUGCCAGCAGCCGCGGUAAUACGUAGGUGGCAAGCGUUAUCCGGAUUUACUGGGUGUAAAGGGCGUGUAGGUGGGAAAGCAAGUCAGAUGUGAAAACCAUGGGCUCAACCUGUAGACUGCAUUUGAAACUGUUUUUCUUGAGUACUGGGGAGGUAGACGGAAUUCCUGGUGUAGCGGUGAAAUGCGUAGAUAUGAGGAAGAACACCAGUUGCGAAGGCGGUCUGCUGGACAGCAACUGACGCUGAGGCGCGAAAGCGUGGGGAGCAAACAGGAUUAGAUACCCGUGUAGUC